This 21-nucleotide unclassified non-coding RNA is filed under the name Chlamydomonas reinhardtii. RNAcentral describes it as "small RNA Cre_3261". Lineage: Eukaryota; Viridiplantae; Chlorophyta; Chlorophyceae; Chlamydomonadales; Chlamydomonadaceae. The record is from RNAcentral.
UGGAGGAUGCGCCGCUGCUGG